Molecule: non-coding RNA, 4310 nt
Organism: Rattus norvegicus (Norway rat)
Lineage: Eukaryota; Metazoa; Chordata; Mammalia; Rodentia; Muridae
Source: RefSeq, a predicted model, not a curated record
GUCUCUUUUCCUGACCCGGAACUCCAGGCGGCAAUUUCCCUGAUCUUUGUUCCCUGAGGUCUUCUGACAUUCAUGAGAUAAAGCGCCUCACACCAGUGACUCUUCUCAUCGCUAGAACAAAAUAUUUGACCAGAAGCAUCUUAACGAAAGACAGCGACCUCCAGAAAAGCUCCUAAAGAGUUCACGACCUCCCCAAACAGCGCCACCACGUGGCAAGGAGGAUGAACAUCUGUGCCUUCCCGACGUCCAGCUGAACUCUGUUCUUUUUGCCGAGAGUGUUAUAAGAAAGUAUGUGCCAGCUGGACUGGGGGCUAUCCCAAAAGCUGUUGCCUGUACACAGAAUAUGCUCUUCUAGCUGCACUGCCUCUUCUGACCUUAGUGGGAGAGUAUGUGCCUAGCCUCACAGAUAUUCGAUGUGCUAUGGUGGGGGAUAUUCCCAGGGGAAAACCCCGAAUUCUCAGAGGAGAAAGGGAGGGGAAAGGGAAAGGGAGGAAGAAUUGUGGGAAGGGGUGACUGGGAUGGGGGCAGUGAGUGGGAUGUAAAGUGAGUAAGUAAAAAAAUUAAUAAUAAAUAAAUAGAUAAAUAAACUCAACAACAACAGAGCUGAAAAUUUAUGGGUGAACAGUAUAAAUUUUAAAUAAACACGUUUUUCAAUAAAGAAAAAUACAUUCCAAAAUUCCCCUUUCUAUUUUUAAUUUCCUCUCUCCUUGCAUUCAUGUUGUGCAUAUGACCUCAUGUAUGUGAAGAUCUUCAAGGCCUUCUCUCCCUGUGUUCACAUGGUCAUGUGCAUGUGAUAUCAUGUGUGUGAAGGCCAGGGACAGUCUCGUACUGAGCCCUCUUCUGUCUUCAUGCAUGCAGAUGUCUUCCCGUUUGCCAUGGAGUAUGCCCAUCAGACUAGCUGGCCCCCAAGCUUCCAGGGACUCUUUUGUCUCCCAUUCCCAUUUCCCUGAAGGAGUACGGCAUUACAGAUGCACAAACUGAACCCAGCCUGACAUGCAUGAGUCCUGAGAAUCCAAACUCAGGUCCUCAUCUCUAUGUGAGUAGCACUUUACCAGCUGAGCCUUCUGGCACGCCGUACUUUCUUUUGCAAGUCUUUCAACUGUAGCUACCUUUGUUUUUGCUUUUUGUACCAUCCCAAGCAAUCCUGGAAGGAGUAACUGCAUUCAGUUUAUGACAACAUUGAUUGUUAUGUUCUUCUGUGGUGGACCAUGACACAAACCAGAGUGAUCUUCUGAGCAAAAGUUUAUAAAAUGUGAAAUUUACAGGGUAUGAUGAUGGCACCCCACAGGUCUCAGAAACAAGGAGUCUCUCUGGCUUAAUGAGACCAUUUAAUAGAUUCAAAACCGUGGCAUCCCACUUAAAAAAAAAAAUUCUUCCUGCCUUUCCUACUUCCUAUUAUAAGUUGUUAUCACAAAUGUUUAAUUUUAAAUUUAGGCACAAUAAAUAUUAUACUGAAGAAAUGUAUUCCAUUUAAUAAUUACACAGAACAAAUUCAUUUACUAAGGAAUUAGAAGGGAUUUUGUUGGUUAUUAAAUUAGUGACACGAUGAAGAAUGGGAGGCCACAUUAACUAGAAGUUAUAAAAUAGAAAACCACAUUAUAAUUUUGAUAAUAAAAACAAAAUUAAAAGGAGCUGAAGGGACUUAUUAAUUAUAAAAUGUCGGAACUAUCCCAAGCACCGUAAACGCUCUUUCAGUUGGGGUGUUCCUGGGACUCUUGGGGGGUUACAUGGAACUCUUCGAGCUCCUUAGCUUUCCGAAUAUCAGCGUCCCGUUUGAGUUGCUGGGGGGUGGAAUUAUGGGAAUGUUGCACAGAGGAGUGAGAGGUAGACAAAGCUAUCUAUGCAGCUGCACAGCCAGACCGUGAAGGACACAGGAAGUUACGGUGUAGGAGACAGGAAGUUACCGUGCAGGAGACAGGAAGUUAUCCCAGGACACAGCAGCUCUGGAGGCUCGACAGAACUCUGCAGCAGGAUCAGUUCGCCCCUGUGUGUAGCUUCCUGAACUGUGGUCCUGAGGUUGGUGGCUCUGAUUUUUGCUUCAGUUUCUGCUGUGGCCACUCCUCCUGCCUUCCCCCUACCUGCUUCUCCUAAGGUUUCUAAAAACUAAUAUCACUAUUAUUAUGAUCUAAUUAUUAUUAGGGGAGAGCACGUGUGUACCUUGGCACACGUGGAGGUCAGAAGAUAGUUUUCAGGAGUCGGUUCUUUUAACCGGGGAUCCGGGAUGGAAGUUAAGUUGCCAGGCUUACAAGGCAAUCACUGUCACCCACUUAGCCAUCUCUGAGGCUUUCUCCUGGUUUCUUUACUGAUGUGCCUCCAGUUUCUGUCACUGUGUGGCUUCUGUCUACCGAAAGCCUCUCUUGAACAUCUGUUUGCUUCUCAUGAAAUUUGUGAGCAUCUGUCUUCUAUCAGUUUCUUUAGAUGUAACCCUUGAGUUUGAAGGGACUUUAUUUAGGAGAUUUAUGAAGAAAAUGUUCUCAGUCUCAGAAAGACAGUGCCAAGAUCAAAGUCAUGACGCAGUCUCAUCACAGACGCUCAGAACCCUUUAGCUCAUUCUCUUGGAUGCAGAAACUGGACACAGGAGCUGGGACAGUCCUCCUCAUACAGUCAGUCAUUGGUUAAGUGACUGUGCAUGCAGUAACUUCCGGGUCCUUCCAGUACUCCAAUUGCUUGCAGGAAAAGGUCUAGGGAAGGAAAUGCUCAAACGGCAGAUAGAGACACCCAAGGAUUUUGGAAUCAGGUGAUGGGUGUAGUGGGUCAGCACACCCUUCAGAGUCAGGUAUCGUGUACACUGCAGCUGUCUAGGACAGGUCUGAGGCAGUCACAAAGUUCUGUAUAAGAUGCUUCCAAAUGGCUGGCCAGAUUACCACCCCCCCCCCAACCAAAAAAAAAAAAAAAAAAAAAAAAAAAACCAUGAAAGCAAAAUACCCAAAGCCCCUUGGAAUAGGUAAGUAUAUAUUCAAGGGCCGAAUUUGGUAGCUUCUGUGCUGCUUGGGCUUCAUGAGCAGCAGUCAAGGAGGAAGAGGGGUAGGAGGGGAGAAAGAGGAGGAGCAGAAGGAGGAAGAGGAGGAGGGAGAGGAGGAGGAAAAAAGAAGUAGGAGGGACCGGAGGAGCAGGAGGAGCAGGAGGAGGAAGGGACGGAGGAGGAGCAGCAGCAGCAGGAGGAGGAGCAGCAGAAGGAGAAGGAGGGGGUGGGAGGAGGAGGAGGAGGAGGAAGAGGAGGAGGAGGAGGCAUUGAUGUAGCAGGUGGAGUCCUUCAGUAUUCCAGUUCCCAAGAAGGCAUCAGAUAUUGAAACUCCCAGCUUGCGGGGUGACAAAGGGGUCAGGGGUCCUUGGCUCUUAAGUGGAGCUGGUAUUUGAGAUCCUGGCAGCCUUGGAUAUCCGGAUUCUUCGUAUCAGGCUUACAGCUUGUGUGUUUGAAGUGUCUGCGACUCUUUCCCAAAAAGGAUCGACCGCAAUCUGGAAUUCGUCUUGAUUCCUUACAGCCUUUGAUUCUUCUUCAGCCUCCACGGUGUCUUCUCUACUCUCAACAGCCCCCCUGUCUCUACCCUGGCUGUUCUUUCUGACUGUUCGGCUGACUUUAACUUCUGGACAGCCUCACCAUGACAGUAGCUUGGUCAGCGGACCCACUCAGCUCCGCCUGCCUGGCAGCUUGCAGGCCAUUAUCCGUCUUGCUGUGUUUGCGGCUCAGCCUAAGGACAACUCUGCUGGACAACUGAUCGUGUUACCAGGUCUCACAUUACUGAAAAUGGCCAUGAAAAGACCACUUGAGAGAGGCCUUUUCCUGGGCCUAAAGCAUAAGUAUUUCCCAGGGCACCAGAGCAGCCCGCAUCUGUAGCCAGGAGGAGGAGUGUUUGGGCCAAUCACAGCGCACCUCAUAUGCAAAUGAAGAUUUGUGUUUGAAUCAGUUACAGCCUUGGUUCUUCAGUGUCCGUUGCUCUGGUGACCACUAGGAAAAGUGCUCCUCCUACAGCCUAGGAUGGAAGAGAGGACCAUCUCCCGCAAGCUGUCUGCUGACCUCAACACAGGUGCCAUAGUACAUGCACCACACUCCUGUGCACGGAUACAUAAGAUCAUGCACAUGAUACAGUGUUCUCAGACAUGGACCUGUAUUUUCACCAAUCAAGAGAGAAAAGACAAGGACUGGUGACAUGGCUCCGUGGACCCUGCCACCACGCUGGGACACCUGAGUUGGAUUCCAAAGAGCCACUUGGUAGAAGGAGAGAACCCUCUCCUCAAAGUUGUCCUCUGACCUACAUGUUUGUCCUGUGGUGCCCUUGUGCACAUAAAACAAAAUAAAGAAUAGAAUUAUU